RNAcentral lists this long non-coding RNA (1146 nucleotides) under Anser cygnoides (Swan goose). RNAcentral describes it as "lncRNA (ENSACDG00005013018.1)". The record is from RNAcentral. Lineage: Eukaryota; Metazoa; Chordata; Aves; Anseriformes; Anatidae.
GUUUUGCUUGAAUAUGGACUUCAUGUUCAUCCAUGUUCUCCAAGCGUUGCAUGGCUUUGCUGUGAGAUGAGAAAUGUUUGCUGCGUUCCGCCUGCUGGAUUGCAUUUUGUUCUCCAUCCGUUUGUCCUGGGCCGUGUUUGAUUGUGAGUGAAGGUUGGCUUUGUUUUGCAGACCCUUUUAGGAUCCUUCAGAAAGAGUGCCAGUGUAGAAACGUCAGCAUUGCAUGGAUGGAUAUCAAACUAUGAGAUAAAUGGAAAUUGCUCUGGGAGAAAAAUGAAAGUAAUGUUGUCUUAUGUUAGAGAUUGUCAUUGGUCUUUCCUCAUAUCAUUAACUCAGAGAAACUCCCACCUGAAUCCACUUGGUUAUGGGAGGUGAAACUGAGUAAAUACGAUUGGGAUUGCGCACACAAACGAGGAGCAUUCUGUUGCUUGUAAAAGGGCUCAGAUGGUUUCCAGACUCUGUUUCUCAUAGGGAGAGAGAAGACUGCUUCUUCCUUCCUGGCAAGAAGGGCAGCAAGUGCUGCAAAUGGCUGUCUUACACCCAACACCUGCUUGAAUCCAGCACGUAGCUGGUCUGGGCCAGGCCCUGUGCUUCUCUUGAAGCAUACAGGUUGAUCAGAAAUGGUGUCCUUUUCUAGAUGUACUUCAGUCAAGGCUGUAUUGAAAGUGUCACGAUUUAUCUUUGAUGAGCAUUCCCCAAAACAGAAAUGAUUGUUCCUCAAGAAAUCAAGGGAAAAUCUACUCCUACCCUGAGUUUACAGCACUGACUGAAAUGUUCUCAGAUGAGCAGGUGGGAAAACGGCCUGUAAAUCUUCAUCUUUAUAAAUGGUUCGUAAAACUUUUGGUGUUGAAAGAAGACAGCAAGAGAGAUGUUGAAGACCUGAGCCUUGAUGUCAUUUCCUCAGAAUUUGUACCAGGCAGAGCUGACAGCAGAACAGUGCCUUCCUCUUCCACGCCCAGGCUGAAGUCAAAGGCCCAUAAUGCUUAGUUGCCCUGGCCAUUGGAUUUAACAUCUCUCUUGGAAGUACUUCAAACCAAAUGGCUGGCUCCAUCUCUAGCUUUGUUAAUUAGGCACAUUACUUUGUUGCUUUUUUCAUAUCGUUUAAUGUAAUUGGCAUUUGUGCAGCUUUCUAAAGGCAUGUUUGGG